Molecule: ribosomal RNA, 256 nt
Filed under: uncultured archaeon
Lineage: Archaea
Description: partial 16S ribosomal RNA
Rfam family: Bacterial small subunit ribosomal RNA
Source: RNAcentral
UAAUACGUAGGUGGCAAGCGUUGUCCGGAAUUAUUGGGCGUAAAGCGCGCGCAGGCGGUCCUUUAAGUCUGAUGUGAAAUCUUGCGGCUCAACCGCAAGCGGCCAUUGGAAACUGGGGGACUUGAGUGCAGGAGAGGGAAGUGGAAUUCCACGUGUAGCGGUGAAAUGCGUAGAGAUGUGGAGGAACACCAGUGGCGAAGGCGGCUUCCUGGCCUGUAACUGACGCUGAGGCGCGAAAGCGUGGGGAGCAAACAGG